This 253-nucleotide ribosomal RNA is filed under the name uncultured bacterium. RNAcentral describes it as "partial 16S ribosomal RNA". It matches the Rfam family "Bacterial small subunit ribosomal RNA", at positions 524 to 776 of the family's 1533-position model. The record is from RNAcentral.
UACGUAGGGGGCAAGCGUUGUCCGGAAUUAUUGGGCGUAAAGCGCACGUAGGCGGUUCGUUAAGUCGGAUGUGAAAGCCCUCGGCUCAACUGAGGAAGUGCACCCGAAACUGGCGAGCUUGAGUACGAAAGAGGAUCGCGGAAUUCCCGGUGUAGAGGUGAAAUUCGUAGAUAUCGGGAGGAACACCGAUGGCGAAGGCAGGUCACUGGGCCGCAACUGACGCUGAGGAGCGAAAGCAUGGGGAGCGAACAGG